RNAcentral lists this ribosomal RNA (162 nucleotides) under Prionosciadium bellii. Its description in RNAcentral is "5.8S ribosomal RNA". It matches the Rfam family "5.8S ribosomal RNA". From Rfam's summary of the family: 5.8S ribosomal RNA (5.8S rRNA) is a component of the large subunit of the eukaryotic ribosome. It is transcribed by RNA polymerase I as part of the 45S precursor that also contains 18S and 28S rRNA. The record is from RNAcentral. Lineage: Eukaryota; Viridiplantae; Streptophyta; Magnoliopsida; Apiales; Apiaceae.
AACGACUCUCGACAACGGAUAUCUCGGCUCUCGCAUCGAUGAAGAACGUAGCGAAAUGCGAUACUUGGUGUGAAUUGCAGAAUCCCGUGAACCAUCGAGUCUUUGAACGCAAGUUGCGCCCGAAGCCACUAGGCCGAGGGCACGCCUGUCUGGGUGUCACGC